Molecule: ribosomal RNA, 443 nt
Filed under: uncultured bacterium
Lineage: Bacteria
Description: partial 16S ribosomal RNA
Rfam family: Bacterial small subunit ribosomal RNA
Source: RNAcentral
CCUACGGGAGGCAGCAGUGGGGAAUAUUGGGCAAUGGGCGCAAGCCUGACCCAGCAACGCCGCGUGAAGGAAGAAGGCUUUCGGGUUGUAAACUUCUUUUCUCAGGGACGCAGAAAGUGACGGUACCUGAGGAAUCAGCCACUGCUAACUACGUGCCAGCAGCCGCGGCAAUCCGUCGGUGGCAAGCGUUCUCAGGAUUUAUUGGGUGUAAAGGGCGUGUAGGUGGGAGCGCAAGUCAGAUGUGAAAACUCAGGGCACAACCCUGAGCCUGCAUUUGAAACUGGGUUUCGUGAGUGCUGGAGAGGCAAGCGGAAUGACGUGUGGAGCGGUGAAAUGCGUAGAGAUACGGAGGAACACCAGUGGCGAAGGCGGAUUGCUGGACAGUAACUGACGCUGAGGCGCGAAAGCGUGGGGAGCAAACAGGAUUAGAUACCCGGGUAGUC